This 263-nucleotide ribosomal RNA is filed under the name uncultured bacterium. Its description in RNAcentral is "partial 16S ribosomal RNA". It matches the Rfam family "Bacterial small subunit ribosomal RNA", at positions 524 to 786 of the family's 1533-position model. The record is from RNAcentral.
UACGGAGGAUGCAAGCGUUAUCCGGAUUUAUUGGGUUUAAAGGGUGCGCAGGCGGACCGGUAAGUCAGGGGUGAAACUUUACAGCUUAACUGUAAACGUGCCUUUGAUACUGCCGGACUAGAGUUUAAGAGACGUAAUUGGAAUGUGAUGUGUAGCGGUGAAAUGCUUAGAUAUAUCACAGAACGCCGAUCGUGAAGACAGAUUACGAACUUAAUACUGACGCUCAUGCACGAAAGCGUGGGGAUCAAACAGGAUUAGAUACC